GCGAUUAUGGUGAAGUGGUUAACACACCAGAUUGUGGCUCUGGCAUACGUGGGUUCGAUCCCCACUAAUCGCCCCA
Molecule: transfer RNA, 76 nt
Filed under: Gallicola sp.
Lineage: Bacteria; Bacillati; Bacillota; Tissierellia; Tissierellales; Peptoniphilaceae
Description: tRNA-His
Rfam family: tRNA
About the family: Transfer RNA (tRNA) molecules are approximately 80 nucleotides in length. Their secondary structure includes four short double-helical elements and three loops (D, anti-codon, and T loops).
Source: RNAcentral